This 484-nucleotide ribosomal RNA is filed under the name uncultured bacterium. RNAcentral's name for it is "partial 16S ribosomal RNA". It matches the Rfam family "Bacterial small subunit ribosomal RNA", at positions 30 to 507 of the family's 1533-position model. The record is from RNAcentral.
AUUGAACGCUGGCGGCAGGCCUAACACAUGCAAGUCGAGCGGAUGAAGGGAGCUUGCUCCUGGAUUCAGCGGCGGACGGGUGAGUAAUGCCUAGGAAUCUGCCUGGUAGUGGGGGAUAACGUCCGGAAACGGGCGCUAAUACCGCAUACGUCCUGAGGGAGAAAGUGGGGGAUCUUCGGACCUCACGCUAUCAGAUGAGCCUAGGUCGGAUUAGCUAGUUGGUGGGGUAAAGGCCUACCAAGGCGACGAUCCGUAACUGGUCUGAGAGGAUGAUCAGUCACACUGGAACUGAGACGCGGUCCAGACUCCUACGGGAGGCAGCAGUGGGGAAUAUUGGACAAUGGGCGGAAGCCUGAUCCAGCCAUGCCGCGUGUGUGAAGAAGGUCUUCGGAUUGUAAAGCACUUUAAGUUGGGAGGAAGGGCAGUAAGUUAAUACCUUGCUGUUUUGACGUUACCAACAGAAUAAGCACCGGCUAACUUCGUG